AGAUUGAACGCUGGCGGCAGGCCUAACACAUGCAAGUCGAGCGGUAGAGAGGUGCUUGCACCUCUUGAGAGCGGCGGACGGGUGAGUAAAGCCUAGGAAUCUGCCUGGUAGGUGGGGGAUAACGCUCGGAAACGGACGCUAAUACCGCAUACGUCCUACGGGAGAAAGCGAGGGGACCUUCGGGCCUUGCGCUAUCAGAUGAGCCUAGGU
RNAcentral lists this ribosomal RNA (210 nucleotides) under uncultured soil bacterium. RNAcentral's name for it is "partial 16S ribosomal RNA". It matches the Rfam family "Bacterial small subunit ribosomal RNA", at positions 26 to 236 of the family's 1533-position model. The record is from RNAcentral.